RNAcentral lists this ribosomal RNA (403 nucleotides) under bacterium. RNAcentral's name for it is "partial 16S ribosomal RNA". It matches the Rfam family "Bacterial small subunit ribosomal RNA", at positions 355 to 776 of the family's 1533-position model. The record is from RNAcentral.
UGGGGAAUAUUGCACAAUGGAGGAAACCCUGAUGCAGCGACGCCGCGUGAACGAAGAAGGUAUUCGUAUCGUAAAGUUCUGUCCUAUGGGAAGAUAAUGACAGUACCAUAGAAGAAAGCUCCGGCUAAAUACGUGCCAGCAGCCGCGGUAAUACGUAUGGAGCGAGCGUUGUCCGGAAUUAUUGGGCGUAAAGGGUACGCAGGCGGUUUAAUAAGUCGAAUGUUAAAGAUCGGGGCUCAACCCCGCAAAGCAUUGGAAACUGAUAAACUUGAGUAGUGGAGAGGAAAGUGGAAUUCCUAGUGUAGUGGUGAAAUACGUAGAUAUUAGGAGGAAUACCAGUAGCGAAGGCGACUUUCUGGACACAAACUGACGCUGAGGUACGAAAGCGUGGGGAGCAAACAGG